CUUUAGCAUAUAUUUUAGUGUUAUAAAUACUUAUUUAGUGUUAGAUUUGGCUGUUGGAUAUUGUAGUUUAGUUAGUGUUUGGCUGUUAGUGUAAUUGGGAAAGUAUUUCGGGUUUAGUGUUCCAUAUCGUCUUAGUAUUGGUGAGUAGGUGUAGUGUAGUAUGCUUGCGGUGACUCUGUGGGCAUUUUACCCGCGAUUCUGCACACCUCCGUUUGAAGAGGGAGGCUGCCCACCGUGGCUCUUCCGCGAUUUAGAUGCAGCCCACCGACUCUGCUCCCCCACCACGGCGGGCUCCAGUCUGAGGUGAGUCAGCUAAAUAAACGUUUUAACAUCUUCUAAAGACAAUUCCCUACCUAAAUGCAAAGUCUGAGAGACGUGGUUCACUUCCUUUAGCUAGUCAGUCGGUGAUUCUGCAACAGUGUCUCUAACUAACGCUGCACUAGUUGACAGCAUUACAGCGUGAAAUCCAGCUUGUGAACAGGUUCUGUAAGGAAUUCUGUUCAGGAGGUCGCAUUUCAGGCUCUCCACAUCAUAUGUGACUGACUUUUACGUUAUAAUGAUCACACACUAGGAAUGUUAUAAAGCGCCUAUAUAGGAGAUUCUUUUGUAUAUUAUCUGACUUUAUAAACUCCCAACAACAAUGUGCUUCUAUUUUUUUUUUCAGGCUAAAUCUACCCAAGACACUGGCUGUCAGACUGAUUUAGCUGCAUGAAUGUACUUGUCCAGGCUGAUGUGAAACCUUCCCUGUAGCAAAGCCAGUCAGAAUGGAGUUCACAGCCGCAGUGUGUCUGGUGACCCACGGUGACCAUGAUGAAAAUUCAUCUUCCAGAAGGUCCCAGAGCGUCCAGACCCCCUGAAAAGACCAAGAUGUGAGGUGUCUGCUGUUGAUUCCAGCUUCCACCUCAGUGACAGUGCAAGCUCAGUGAACUGUUCAAGCCUGGCUGAUCACCUGAUAACCCCUGUCAUCUGGUUAUGACAGCAUGAGGAUGUCCUCACACACCUGUAACCUAUCAGCUCUGGCAGAAUAGAGAGAGA
Non-coding RNA from Nothobranchius furzeri (turquoise killifish), 1035 nucleotides. Lineage: Eukaryota; Metazoa; Chordata; Actinopteri; Cyprinodontiformes; Nothobranchiidae. The record is from RefSeq and is a predicted model, not a curated record.